RNAcentral lists this ribosomal RNA (292 nucleotides) under uncultured bacterium. RNAcentral's name for it is "partial 16S ribosomal RNA". It matches the Rfam family "Bacterial small subunit ribosomal RNA", at positions 505 to 796 of the family's 1533-position model. The record is from RNAcentral.
GUGCCAGCAGCCGCGGUAAUACGAGUGGUGCGAGCGUUAAUCGGAAUUACUGGGCUUAAAGGGUGCGCAGGCGGGUCCGUAAGCAUUCCGUGAAAUCCCCCGGCUCAACCGGGGAACUGCGGAGUGGACUGCGGGUCUUGAGAGAGGUAGGGGCCGACGGAACGAACGGUGGAGCGGUGAAAUGCGUAGAUAUCGUUCGGAACGCCAAUGGUGAAGACAGUCGGCUGGGCCUUUUCUGACGCUCAUGCACGAAAGCGUGGGGAGCAAACAGGAUUAGAAACCCUCGUAGUCC